This 7509-nucleotide long non-coding RNA is filed under the name Lactuca sativa (garden lettuce). RNAcentral's name for it is "long non-coding RNA (LSAT_LNC003651)". Lineage: Eukaryota; Viridiplantae; Streptophyta; Magnoliopsida; Asterales; Asteraceae. The record is from RNAcentral.
AUUAUACAUGCAAAUGGUUUCCAAGGCAUUAAACCUAUAACUAGCAUGCGUUUGACAUAAACCAUAUAAUAUACUAGUUAGGGAAACAUACCUUUUAUGUGGAUUGAAGUCUUGAUGUAUUUGGCCUUAAGAGCUUAGCACCAAUAGUAUGAAAUGCCUCAAAUGGAAUCACAACACACCUAGGACAAAGGUAGCUCUUGAGAGAGAAUUCCAUGCACCAAAACACCUCCAUAUUUCUCUAAGAAAAGAAGUGGUGAUUUUGGCUAUGGAGUAACCUAUUUGUAUGUAGGAUACCAAGGGUCAUGGGUAUAACCCAUAAUCCAUACCCAUGGAUUUUAUGAUCCAUGGUUCAUGUGGCCCAACUCUUUAUGUAUCCAUACAUAAACUUGGUCCAACAUGGAUCAUAAGCCCAACACAUAUAAAUAUAACUAAUUAUCAUAAUUAGUCCCCAUAGAUUUAAUUAGUCUCUUUUGAUCACUAAAUUAAUUCCAAAUUAAUUCUUGAUUGAUACUAAUUAAAACAUAUGAUUUCAUAUUAAUAUAUUAUAACUUAUAAUAUAUUAAUAAACCAUAAAUAACCUUCUCUCAAAAGUCCAUCCUAACAAAUUGUCCUGAUGAUAUGCAACCCAAAUGGACCAUGCUACUCUCGGGUCAAGUACAUACCAAUAAUAGUUAUGGGCUUAGACAUCUAAUCCAACAGUCUCCCACUUGGAUAAGUCUAAAACUAUUAUUGCAAGUACGACUUCAUAACCCGACUAGCAAUCGUAGCUCUUAAAGCCGCUGUCGAACUCUGAACAAAUCAAUGACGCGUCCAUUAGAUAAGGGAUCAUAUAUUCCUCCAUUCUAGAUAUCAUAUGGACUGAGACAUGGAUUAUAAUCAUUCUCUCUGUCCAUUUGUUGUUUCCCGAUUUCCGAUUUAUGACGACUGACUAAUUGAACAAAUCAAAUCAGUCCUGGCCCGGCCGAGCACUUCCAUUUGUCAUCAUCAAAUCAUCGAGGGGCCCACAGAUAUCGCUUUUAUCCCGAAGGUAAAAGGAAUGGAUAAACUUCGACUCAUAUGGCUUGUUCUACUACUUGUUGAAUCAUACACAAAGGCACGUUUUAUAACAUCGAGUUACCAAUGCGUUUUCGUGCAAUCAAUGUAUAACCAACUCAUAGUAACAACUCAUAUCUCUAGGUUUGAAGAAUAUAAGAUAUUAUCGUCUCAUGAUCACUCGUGAUAAAAUCCAUGAAGUGAUUCCAAUGAGCGCGGGUUGAAUCCAAUACUCAGAACUUAUGAGCACUCAUGAGUGUUGUAGCCCUUUGUCCAACACCUUAGACCUCUACAAGCCAACCCAUGACAGUCUUAAUUCAUAUCUACUUCCAACAUAUGACCGACUGUGGAUGGUUUGAAUAACUUAGUCAUUCCGGAAGAAUAACCUAGUUUAUUCGGGAAGUCAAAACAUGCAAAAUGAAACACAAUAAUAAUUGAAUCCAAUAUGGUAUCAACCCUUUGAACAUAAAUAAAACACCUUUUAUUUAUCACCAUAUGAUUACACAUUAUUCAUUGUAUACUGUUUCAGCUAUCAACUUUAUUCUUGAAUUUAAAACAAUAGUUGUCCCAUGCUCCAAGCAUGUACACUAUGUUUUCUUAAACACUAGUCAUGCCACACACCAAGUAUGCAUACUAUGUUUGUCUAUGAUCUUUACUUUGUGAACUAGAUCAAUUGAACAUAACUUCAAUGAUUCUCUUUUCACACUCCCAAAUCCUUACUGCAAAUGCAAGAAUUCCAAAUUCAUGCCAUUUACUGAAAUCUGUUAGAUUCUAAACUUAUAUGCAUUGAUCCUCUUGUAAUGAUUAUGCACAAAGUCAUAAAGACUUGACAACAAACAUUACAGAGUAUUCCAAAGGAGAUCAGCUCCUUGGAAACAUCCUUCUUGCAUUAAGUUUCCUAAUCUUAAACAGAUUGAAAAUUCUAACUUUGAAACAUUUCCAGAUUCCAUUUUGACUAUCACUUCUGAACAAGAGUUGCCUCCUUACAGAUUAUGUCAAUAUGGUCCUUCCAGAAUUAUCACUAUACUUCCAACUGUCCUUGAGCAACCAAUCUUUGGUAAACCUUAGAUUGUCCUCGACAAUUGUUUAAUCCUUUUAGUCAUAUCCAGUUCUAAACCUUUUCCCUUCUUAAUGCCCCAGGCAUUUGGAAAAUUUUAGAACGGAUGAAUAUAGCACAUGUAAUCGAUCCUAUAUCCGAAGCAUAUGGGACACGAUUCAUGAUGUCUCACAUAAAGACUAAACCAGUCUUUUGCUAUAAUAUUUCCAUUUCAAUUUGCCAAGUUCUCAUAAUUCAGAUUAUGAAAAGGGAUGCCGUAAUCAUAAUCGAAUUUUAGAACGCAAAUAAUGGACCCAUAUACAGAAUUUCCUUAUGUUGAGCCAUUCCAACAUGAAAUUCAUAUAUAUCCUUGACUAAAUGAUUAAAACCUCACGAUCUAAGCUUAUAGAUUUGAGAUGAAGUAUAAUUUCCUCUCCCUUAAUUAUAGCAAAACAACUUUUUCCCAAUUGAAACUUUUGUUUUCUAUAAUUAACAUUGCUAACUUGCAAUACUUAUCAUAAUUAUCAUGCUCCCACUAACAUGAUGAUUAUUAGCAUAACACUUAUGCUCCCACUAGCUUUGACAUGUACUCAGAAAUCAGCUGGACUUCUAGAAAUCAAUACUUCAUUGACUUUCUUACCAAAGUUCAGAUUUCUGAUACUAGAUUGUUUUGAUAAAACUUUAUCAAAAUCAUACACCUUCCCUUAGAUAGCACACUUGUGUGUCUAAACAAUUAUGAAGAGGGAUGCCGUAAUCAUAAUGGUUAGACCUUUUUGCCACUUCUCACAAGUCCAGGUUAGUGUGCCGGUAAACCACACACGCUCCACUAACGACUUUGAGAAUGCAAAUAUCACAAUUGCUAUCUAGCUAAAAUCUACUUAGUGAAAGUGUUUCCUCACCAUCAUUUUCAUGAAUCGGAGAGAAACCUUAUGACACUUAGAUUUAAUGGUGUAUGUGUUCUUAUCCAUGUGAAUUGUCAAAACCAUAGUCACAAGACAAGGAUAAUGACAAAUCCAAACUCAUAUGGAUUGAACUUGUGCAAUCUUAACUUCUUGCCACCUGGCAGCUCAAGGGCCUGCCAUUGCUUCCAAGUAGUUAUGCAAACAAUUAAGAACAUGUCAAAUCUAUAUCCAACUUAACUGUAAUGGGCAUAGAAAUGUCAGCAGAUAGGUUAUAAACCUCUAAUUGUGUGCUAGCGAUGAAAUACAGGUUUUAUUCUUGAUUACUUCUUGAAACCUUUUUCAGGAUCUUUUAGCCUCCCACUGUCUCCUUGACCUAUACGACUUUCUUGCCAAAUAUUCAAGAGAUAGUGUGGAUUCUAAUCAAGACAAACACUUCACACAAUUGGCCUUAGUUGGUCUUUGUUUUAUCCAAAACAUCACAACUUACCAAUUUCAAAUGUACAAGAGUAGAAAACUUUUACUCUUACAUUUGACAAGUGUUUUAAACCUUCUUUAAGACAUGUCACUCAAGUUACAAUCUUGGAGUAUGACUCUAAGACUUGUAUUGGAACGAAGUAUGACUCAUCUUCUUGAUUUAACCAUUUCAACAAUUCAAGUUCCUCUUCUUAGUCAUAAGAAUGCACUAAGAUUUCCUUAGAGAACUAAUUUUGAUAUGGUUUCUUAAUCAUUAAGAUGAUCACAAAACUGAUACUAAAGUACUCUCCCAUCUUUUCAGAUUUGAGAAACUUUUAUCCUUCUGCCUAAUUUGAUUCUUCUUAUUCGCUCUGCCAUACAUUGGAACCUUUUCCAAUGUCUCAGAGUUACACUUAAGCUUGUAAGUAUAAUCAUAUUUACUGAGCUUUAGUAAACUAUGACGAAUAGUCUUAUCAAUCUUUUGUGGUGGACUUAAUCAGUGCACAAGAAUGUGUACUCGAUCCCUUAGUCCUUUACUUGACUCACACAUCCAUGUGGCCGAGUAAUUAGUCUUAAUUUUCCAAAACUUGAAAGUUCUCAUUCAUCAUGCUAUACAACUUGCAUGAUUCCAAGUUCCGGUCCAAUUGAAACUUGGGUGAUGAGAAUCUUUCCUUAUUUGGUAAAUCUAGACAUUACCACAAAUGAAAGAAUCAAUUUCAUAUUUCCACUCUUGCUCUUAAUGGAAUCAUAUAAGCAACAAUUUUUCCUCAAAUGCCAUUGUAAGGAUAUUUUAAAAUAAAUAAAAUCAAAAAUUUUCUUUUAUUUUAAAACUUUGCGGAAAAACUUAUCCUUACAAUCCAUAUGAAAACUUGUUGUUAUCUAUUCCUAAGCAAUAUCUCAUAACUCCUAAGAAGUUGCUCAAGAAUCCGAUCUUCAAACUAUGCGAUAGAAAUCCAUCUACGCCAUCAGAUUCAGCAUAUUCUUUCUUUAAGUUUCUUCACUUUUCUUUGAUUCUUAAAACAUCACCAUGUGACCCAGUCACAUCAUGUAUCAGGAAUCUCAGAAUAGAAACUUAACAGAGUUAGAUAGUGGUCUUUACCUGAAGUAGAGUCAAACUUAUUGACUUUAACAUCCUUAGGUAAAUUUGGCAGCUUCGCAACCAAUGCCCCUUCCCUUGGCAAUAUAAACAUAUGGACCCUUUGAUAAUGGUACACGAGACUAUCACAGACUUAGCUUUUCUCUUUACCAUUUGGUCAACCGAGUUGACUAUGGCCGAUCCCUUUCCAUUGGGAAGAGAAUGCUUUACUGGAUAUCCAAUGUCAUCAUUGUCAAUGUCCAUAAAGUUUUAGGAAGUUGAUCUUAGCAAAUAGAUAAGAUCAUUAAGGGUCUUGUCAUAGUCUGUUUCAUAGGUGUCCCAAAGGAACUCACUAUGUGACUUAGAAAGUGAUUGAACCACCAACUUUCUCAAGACUUUGACACCCAACUCUCCCGGCUUGUCAAUAUGUGACUACAUCUCCAAGAUGUGAUCACACCUAGACCUUGCCUUGCCAAUAGGGCUUGAGUGACCUUAAACUUUUCAAGAACUUGUGGGUUAGGGAGAAUAAUUGGAGGAGGUGAAAGAAGUAUGAUUUCCAAAGGACAUCAUCUUCAUUUAGGAAACCUUGUUUCACUAGAUUUGGGAAGAUCAUAGGUGUCUAUUACAGACAUCUUUUGGGAGAUAUUCAAGAUAGUUGAUUUAAAGUCCUUAAUAUGACACCCAAUAUGAAAUAUUAAGGCUAGGACCCAACAAACUAUUUUAUAACUUAGAAGAGGUAUGCCGUAAUCCAAGCUAUAAAAUAUUUGAAGGUAGGUGAAUGACGAUUCACCAAUUUCCACCAAGAUAAACGAAAUGUAUUAUUAGGUUUUAAUUGGUUUUGAAACUCCUAGAUCUUUGAGAUUCAUUGAACUGUUCAAAGGCAUGUUUCAAUCUCGAGUGUGCCCUUCAGGUUUUGUGACUGGGAUGCCGAGGAUCACAAAACAAGGUGUGAAGUAACCAUGCAAAUCACUUGGUACCCUUAAUAAAUUACCCCUCAAUCGAUGUGCCGGUUAACCACACACGCUCCAUCGAUACUAUGAUAAAUAUUAAGUCACCCUUUACCUACCUUGUUAAGUCCAAGUUAGUGUGCCGGUUAACCACACACGCUCCACUAACGACUUAGACAAAGUGUAAAGUGUAAUUUCAUGGAUUAGCACCUUAUUCACAUUUUUCCUAAGUAACUAAGAUUGGGUAUUAUUAAGAGUUUAGUUACUUAGUAUUAUCAUUAAUACUUUUAAUGAAGGGAGAAUUCUAGUCCUGUCAAACCCGUUCGGCUAACGACCCUCCACCAGUCAAGCAAGCGGUGGGUGAGAGUGGACACCCAUUAAGUUGCCAUUUUAUAGGCAACAACCUUAUACCCACCUUAUAGACCGGCUUCGUGAAUGAGGCGUACUAGCGGUAAGACUGACUUUACUCUUAUACAUAUAUAUAUUAUUAACUUAUAAUAUUAUAAAGUAUAAGGGUUGAAUUUUAACUUUUAAAAUUCUAAGGGCUAACUUGGAAUUAAAGUAUUCAUAAGUGAAAACUUUACAAAUUCCAAAACUUGAGGGCAAGUUUUGAAACUAUUCAAAACUAAUUAAUUCCAUAACUUAUGUGUUUAAAGUAGUUUUAAUCCAAAAACUCUUCAAGUUCCAUAACUUGAGGACAAGUUAUGGAAGACAUUAAAUCAUUUAAUGAUGACAUUAAAAAUAGAGACUCUUCUAUUUUCAUAACCUAUGAGACUUAAUGACACUUUAAAAAAGAAAAAUUCUUUACUUUCCAUAACUUGAGGACAAGUUAUGGAGUUCAUAAAAACCAUUAUGAUCAAAUAUUCCAAUUAAAACAAUAGUAAAAUAAUUUUUCUAUGAUCUAGAUUAAACUCAUAAGUAAAGAUAAUUCACAUCAACAAUUUUCAAGAAAUUAGAUAAUCAUAUAAACUAAUACAAAUCUUGAAACUUUGACAAUUAUCCUUUGAAGACUCUUGGACUUCAUAACCUAAAGAGUUAAUAAAUGAGACAUUUCACAUCCAUAACUUAUGGAAGUUUCAAAACUCUUAAAAUUAUACCUUUAAAAAAAACUUUUGAGUUCCAAAAUUUUAUGUCAAAAUUUGUAACUCCCUAAAACCACUUAGAUCAAACUUUUAAAACAAAUAAAAUAAUCAUAUCAUUCUAUCUUUUAAUAAAUUGACCUAAUUCAACUCUUGUAGUAAAGUGACUCAAAUUUUACAAAUAAUUAGUUUUUCAUAAAAUCAAGUAAUUAUCAUAAAAUUUGACAAACUUCAUGUUUUUUUUUUCUUUUUUUCCCAUCAACUUAAAAAAAAAUACAUUUGCAUCAAAUAUAGUAGAAAACAACCCAUGGCUCUGAUACCACUGUUGGGUUUUGGUAUAAUACAACAUCCUAUGGUGCACAUACAACCCUAAAUACCUUGGAUCUAUGUUUUCACUAAUUAUACAUGCAAAUGGUUUCCAAGGCAUUAAACCUAUAACUAGCAUGCAUUUGACAUAAACCAUAUAAUAUACUAGUUAGGGAAACAUACCUUUUAUGUGGCUUGAAGUCUUGAUGUAUUUGGCCUUAAGAGCUUAGCACCAAUAGUAUGAAAUGCCUCAAAUGGAAUCACAACACACCUAGGACAAAGGUGGCUCUUGAGAGAGAAUUCCAUGCACCAAAACACCUCCAUAUUUCUCUAAGAAAAGAAGUGGUGAUUUUGGCUAUGGAGUAACCUAUUUAUAUGUAGGAUUCCAAGGGUCAUGGGUAUAACCCAUAAUCCAUACCCAUGGGUUUUAUGAUCCAUGGUUCAUGUGGCCCAACUCUUUAUGUAUCCAUACAUAAACUUGGUCCAACAUGGAUCAUAAGCCCAACACAUAUAAAUAUAACUAAUUAUCAUAAUUAGUCCCCAUAUAUUUAAUUAGUCUCUUUUGAUCACUAAAUUAAUUCCAAAUUAAUUCUUGAUUGAUACUAAUUAAAACAUAUGAUUUCAUAUUAAUAUAUUAUAACUUAUAAUAUAUUAAUAAACCAAAAAUAACCUUCUCUCA